AGGGCUGUAGCUCAGUGGCAGAGCACUUGCCUUACACAUAUGAGACACUGGGUUUGAUCCUCAGCCCCA
This 69-nucleotide transfer RNA is filed under the name Marmota monax (woodchuck). It matches the Rfam family "tRNA". Rfam says of the family: Transfer RNA (tRNA) molecules are approximately 80 nucleotides in length. Their secondary structure includes four short double-helical elements and three loops (D, anti-codon, and T loops). Further hydrogen bonds mediate the characteristic L-shaped molecular structure. tRNAs have two regions of fundamental functional importance: the anti-codon, which is responsible for specific mRNA codon recognition, and the 3' end, to which the tRNAs corresponding amino acid is attached (by aminoacyl-tRNA synthetases). tRNAs cope with the degeneracy of the genetic code in two manners: having more than one tRNA (with a specific anti-codon) for a particular amino acid; and 'wobble' base-pairing, i.e. permitting non-standard base-pairing at the 3rd anti-codon position. The record is from Rfam by way of RNAcentral. Lineage: Eukaryota; Metazoa; Chordata; Mammalia; Rodentia; Sciuridae. RNAcentral also lists the same sequence under 1 other name.